GAGAACCUGGAUGAAGAUGGAUGGAGAGCUAGGUUAGUGAAAGGUCUCACUCACUCAUCUUUUACUGCUUUAUCCUCCACAUGAGGGUCACAGGGGGCGCUGGUGCCAAUUCCAGCUGACAUUUAUCCGCAAAACCUUUCGACAACAAAUUGCCUGUCGGUACGACAAACACUCAGACAAGUUCACUCAUUUACGAUCGACUUUUUUGUUCGUCUUGGGCUAUAACCUCUUCCCACCGAGUUUCGGUGAACAGUGGGUCCAGGUCCAGUCGAGGGCAGCACAGAUCCCACUGGGUCUGAACAACACCAGGUGCCACUGCUGUCCUGUACCUAAUAAAGUGGCCAGUAAUUGUAUAUUUUCUGUAUCCAUUCUCUACAGUGACCAGGAGCAGGAGAACCGCUGAAUACGGACACAUGUUGACGGAUGACGUGUGCUGAUGUCAACAACAACAAAGCCCUGUGUUUGGUGUACAGUAUGUCUUCAAACGGGGUCAGAGCUCUGAAGAGCUAAGUGUCUCCUAAAGCCUGAAGACUGCUGGUACGCGAGGUCACACGUCUAUGACGUCAAACACACACACACACACACAAGCACGCACCGAAGACGACAUCCGCCCACACCUUCAUUUAUUCUUUUGUCUCCCUUCCUUUUCUUGCUUUUUCCACAGAAUUAUCUGCAGCGAGCAGGCACAGAGAAAGAGGAUCUUUGUGCAUUUGAUGGACUCAUUCAGAGCAAUUUAAACACAGUGAGUGAGGAAUUAGCAUAAUUGUCAGGAGGGACAAAAAAAAAUGACAAACACAGCAGGGACAGCGAUCAGGAGGAAAAUAUGAACAACAUCCAUUUACAUUUACACGUCACAUUUCACCAUGUUAUAUCAAAAACAAUAAAAGUUACAAAGAAGAAGAAUCACUUCACGUCAUAACAACAUAACGCUUCUCCUCGUAGCCCUCGUUGCAUGAAAAUAUAACGAGCUUUUAAAUAUUUAAUGUUGGCAUGGAAACGCCAUUCCCAUGUCCGUGGAUCAAAGAUAGAGCUGAGUGAUGACACCAGGACCAGAACCCACUGCCCCGCCCCCCCCCCGCUCUCAGGAUAUAUCAGGAUAUCCUGUUCCCUCUCAACACAUCCUUUCAUACCGCAGAGGGGAAGAGGACGUGGAGGAGGAGGGGACGCUGUAAGCAACCUGCAGACCCACACAGAAUAAAAAGAGUGAUUCAAACGUUGACUCUCAGCAGAACCACGGUACGUCAUGACUGUGCCGCAGGAAUCUGAAGUUCUCCAGGUGGAAAACAUUUCUCUCUGUCUUGCUCUUGUUGUCGGGGGACCUCAUUAAAAGUCACACGUCCACAUUCCCGCGUCAACACUUCCUGCCUUCAGGUCAGAAGUCAAAGGUCAGAGGAGAAGAACCUUACCGGCUGAUUCUCCAGUGUUGAUCCAGUCCGGGUUGACGAUGCUGGCGAUGGCGAAGAUGUCCGCGGCGAGAAAGAGGCAUCCUGAAAUCACG
Long non-coding RNA from Solea solea (common sole), 1498 nucleotides. RefSeq lists it as uncharacterized. The record is from RefSeq and is a predicted model, not a curated record. Lineage: Eukaryota; Metazoa; Chordata; Actinopteri; Pleuronectiformes; Soleidae. The transcript is spliced from 3 exons.